This is a non-coding RNA of Bombyx mori (domestic silkworm), 114 nucleotides long. The record is from Rfam. NCBI's taxonomy places the organism in Eukaryota, Metazoa, Arthropoda, Insecta, Lepidoptera, Bombycidae.
GUCGGGUAUGGAGAUAUGGCGCCCAAGACUUACCUCGGGAUGUUUGUGGGCGCUCUCUGCGCUUUGGCUGGAGUGCUCACUAUCGCGCUGCCCGUUCCCGUGAUAGUAUCCAAC